GGUUAUGGCUCUGAGAGCAGCCACAAGACAAAACAACUGGAUUGAGAGGAAGAGGAGGAACUGUGUUGAGAAGAACCACAUAUGUACUGUACAAUGUAGUGUGAGAUUAUGGUAAAUAUGCAACACGUGCAGGAUCCAAGAGUGAUUAUCCAGACCACAGUGCAGCAGAUCCUUCUAUAUCUGAGAGAGCUCUGAGAACAGCCACAAGACAAAACAAAUGAAUGGAGAGGAAGAAUAGAUACUGUGUUGAGAAGAACCAUGUGUGCGCUGUAACAUUCUUUGAAAUGAACAUUGUGAGCAAACAGGAUCCAAAAGUCAUUAUCCAGACCACAGUGCAGCAGAUCACUCUAUAUCUGAGAGGUUUGUACUUCAGAAAGGUUACAGGAUGAAGCACUGCCAGAGCUCUGAGAACAGUCACAAGACAAAACAACUGGAUGGAGAAGAAGAGGAGGAACUGAAUCAAGUAGAAGUAUAUGUACAACUCAUAAUUAAAUUGUUCUGUAGUAAACAUGCAGCACAAACAAGAGCCAAGACAAAUUAUCCAGGCCGGAGUGCAGCAGAUCACUCUAUAUCUGAGAGGUUUGUACUUCAGAAAGGUUACAGGAUGAACCACUGCCAGGUAACGCUCAACACAGAUCAGACACUGAAACAGAGGACGACCAGUGACAAGUAGUCCUAAUAAAAACCCUAAUAAUCGUAGAUAUAAAACCCCAGUAAAAUAAUAAAAUACAGAAAACAAAGAGUUCAGACAAAUACCAAUCUCAGAAACAGAGAGAUUGAGGAUGAAGAAGUCUGAUGCAACUCCAUUUCCCGUUCCUUGGACGAUGAGCAAUAUAAUAUAGAAGUGUGUAGGAAAGCCGAGAAAAACAUUGAAGCUGUAAAUAUAAAUGUCCAGUAUGGUUAUUAUCGCAAAUAAAUGAUUUGUGGAGUUUGUAGAUGCUUCAGGCGUGGUGAAGUUCAUAGUCGAAUUAUUCAUCUCCUUUGUGUUUGUCCACAAAACUGGUACUAAUUUUGCCUCUACAGGGGGAAAAGUAGGGUAAUGUCAGGAAGACUGGG
This is a long non-coding RNA of Cyprinus carpio carpio, 1056 nucleotides long. The record is from Ensembl. NCBI's taxonomy places the organism in Eukaryota, Metazoa, Chordata, Actinopteri, Cypriniformes, Cyprinidae.